UGUCGUCAGCUCGUGUCGUGAGAUGUUGGGUUAAGUCCCGCAACGAGCGCAACCCCUACGUUUAGUUGCUAACGCGUGAAGGCGAGCACUCUAGGACGAACUGCCGUUGACAAAACGGAGGAAGGUGGGAUGACGUCAAAUCAUCAUGCCCCUUAUGUUCUGGGCUACACACGUGCUACAAUGGCCGGUACAGACGGACGCAAAGCCGCGAGGUGGAGCAAAUCCUAAAAAAGCCGGUCUCAGUUCGGAUUGCAGGCUGCAAUUCGCCUGCAUGAAGUCGGAAUCGCUAGUAAUCGCAGGUCAGCAUACUGCGGUGAAUACGUUCCCGGGCCUU
RNAcentral lists this ribosomal RNA (334 nucleotides) under uncultured Pelotomaculum sp. RNAcentral describes it as "bacterial SSU rRNA". It matches the Rfam family "Bacterial small subunit ribosomal RNA", at positions 1050 to 1382 of the family's 1533-position model. Lineage: Bacteria; Bacillati; Bacillota; Clostridia; Eubacteriales; Desulfotomaculaceae. The record is from RNAcentral.